RNAcentral lists this transfer RNA (56 nucleotides) under Araneus diadematus (European garden spider). Its description in RNAcentral is "tRNA-Ser". The record is from RNAcentral. Lineage: Eukaryota; Metazoa; Arthropoda; Arachnida; Araneae; Araneidae.
GACUUUAAUAUAAAGAUAUUUUGAAAAUAUCUUAAAAGAAAUAUUCUUUGAAGUCA